UUAUGGAGCCGUGGCCUACUGGUUAGGGCUUCGGGCUUGGAACCAAAGGGUUGCCGGUUCAAUCCCCGACCAAAAA
This 76-nucleotide transfer RNA is filed under the name Alosa alosa (allis shad). RNAcentral's name for it is "tRNA-OTHER". Lineage: Eukaryota; Metazoa; Chordata; Actinopteri; Clupeiformes; Clupeidae. The record is from RNAcentral.